CCGCCGGGCGGGGACAGCGCCCGCUCUGCGCCAGCCUCCCUCCCGCCUUCCUUUCCCCUCCCCUCCCACCCCGACCGGCUGCCUGCGGGGCGGGGCAGCCGCCGCCCCCCGUCUUGUCGAGGUCGCCGCACCUGCCCGGCCCGCAGGUUGUUAUGGCUGGAAGAGACCUCUGGAGAUCAUCCAGUCCAACUCCCCUGCCAAGGCAGGUUCACCUAGAGCAGGUGACACAGGAACGGAUCCAGGUGGGUUUUGAAUGUCUCCACAGAAGGAGACUCCACGCCCUCCCUGGGCAGCCUGUUUUCCAGUGCUCUGCCACCCUCCGUGCCAAGAAGUUCUUCCUCAUGUUGAGGUGGAACUUCAUGUGUUUUAGUUUAUGGGCAUUGCUCCUCGUCCUGUCGCUGGGCACCACCACACCGCGAAAAAGAGUCUGACUCCAUCCUCUUGGCACACGCCCUUGAGAUAUUUACCUGCAUUUCCUUGUGCCUCCUGGUGAGCUCAGGCGUCAGUGAGGCUGCAGGCGCUGGGUAGUGGCAUUCCCUUGUGCCUAGCAGAGUUUGCAGACUUGUAGUGGGAUGAGAAUCUUAGUAUAAAAUAUGGCUUAGAAAGUCAUGGUCAGCAUCUUUGCAAAUGACUGGUUUAUGACAGACAAGAAAACCCCAAGCCAAUGUUUAAAACUGAUCUAAAAUGCACUUUUUCCCAUGUAUAUCCACCCGGAGCUCCUUUCAUGUUAUUGGAUGUGGAGUAGUUGACAGUGUCAACUCUGAAAGAUAUGCUGAAGAGAACGUUGUUGUACACCUGUAGGAGCAAAAGAACUCUCGGAUUGUGCCUUCACUGGCAUUUCAUUUUGGCUAAGAAGUUUCCCUUUUAAACAAAUCUGAUGGUUUCCACUUCAAUGUGCACACUGGAGCAGAGUUGGAGGUUUGAUACUUUCAGAUGAUGCCAAAAUGAAAGAUCUGCAGCUACCAAGGAGUAUUCAGUGCAUAGGACCAGGCCAGAUCUCCUUCAGAGCACGUCCCUUGCAGUGCGGACCACUGAGCUGCAUUAGAUGUUUUAUUCCCCAGCUCCCACUGGACCACUCUGCUCUAGACAGAGCCAGGUGUUUCCAGCUAUAGCUCCCCCAGCCUUGAGGAGACGUUAGCUGACCUUUAGCGCUGAAUUUACGCAAAGUUGGGAAUUUAUUAGCUAACAGAGCAGGCUGAUAGGAGUGUUGAAUGCUUGCAGACUGUUCGCAUAAUCCGAGAGUACGUGUGCAAUGUUUCCGUGCAGGUGAUAUGAUGUAAUAGCCAAAGGCAGAGGAAAGAAUCAAGGAAAUGAAUGACAGCAACAAAUCCACCUUUCCUGUUCAGGCUGUGGGCCUCAAGAGGUCUCUACACCAACCUUCUGCUUCUUGUAUCUUCUGACCAAGCUGCUUAGAACUUUGUCCAGCAGGGUCUUGAAAACGUCUAUGAAUGGAGAGAGCACAACUUACCUGGGCAACCUGUGCCAACUUGAUUGGUGAUGUUUUUUCCCCUUAAAUCAGAACCUCCAUAUACGACUGUUACCUCUCAUCCUGCUGCUGUGCACCUCAGUAGAGAGUUUUGCUCUUGGAUUUCCCUUCAAGCCUUCUGACUGGAUGCAGUUCCCUCAGCCUCUCCUUACAGGGCAUGUGCUUCCACUCCCACACCAAAUUCACUGCCCUCAACUGCACUCACUGCAAUUUGUCAACUUCUUUUUCAUACUGGGGGGCCCCAGAGUGUGAUGUGGUUUUCCAGGUGUGAUCUAACAAGUUCUGAGUAAAGAGAACUAAUAAUUCUUUUGAUCUACUGGCUUCAUGCCUGUAAAAACAACCUAGAAUGUCUUUAUAAAGUCCAUGGCUGGGCCUUAACUGCCCUGACGCCCUCACUUGGGACUUUAGCAUCUGGAGUACUAUAGGUUUGCCUGUGCCAGGUCCUGUCUCCUAUUGCCUUGGCUUAUCCGUUGGCCUUCCUUGAUGGACCUGUGUAAUAAAUAGCCUUGCCUCCAACCCUUUCUCCUGCAUGGACCUUUUCUCUGUCUUCUGCUGUUCCUGGCUGGACUUUCUGUCUGGACUCUGGACAUGACUCAUCUCACCUUGCCUUGGACUCUCAAGACCUAUGACUACCCAGCCGGAUCCAAUGGAACUGCACCCAGGUUGGUGAGGCCAUUACCUUGCUUGUCCUGUGGUCAGCUUCGGUUCCCAGCUUAUCCACCCUCAUGAAGUGGCCCUGCUCAUGUUGUCCUUGACACAGUCCACCAGGAGCUCCAGAUUCCUUUUUCAGUGAGUGUUCAGUCUAUACUGCUGCAGUGGUUAUUCCAUUUUAGGUAAGGUAUGACCCACAGGAUCCAUCCAUCAGUUCCCUGAAUAGGCAUAGUGUUUUGAUCAAUCUGUAUCUUUCCUCUUUCCCCUGAAGUUGUCUGUUUGAGCACACUUCAGCAUGUUCAUUAAAUCCACUUCUCUUUUACAAGUGAUAUGACAUGUGCAAUGAAAUCGUGCAUUUUGCCAUAUCAUCAUGAGGUGUAUCUUGCCCUCAUUUUCAAUGAAAGGAUUGAGUGGAGUAAUCUUCAGUAAAAAUGAACGUGUUCAAGUAGUCAUAUUUUCUGUCAGCUGUAUUACAAUCCUAACGUUCUCUUGGCUAGUCUUAGGAAAGCUGAUUGUUCAUUUGUCUUGUCAGAGUGAAUGCUGAAGCUAUUUCUGCUGUUGGCUAAAAAAGAUGCAUCACGUUCUUCCUUCAUGCUUCCCUCUUUUGUGGUGUUAAUACUCUUAAAAUAGUUCAAAGCUUUUGGACUUGUUGCCAAAAGAAUAUUGUUGGCAGUGGAGCUUGUGCUUCCUGCUCUAGCAGUCCUCCUCUAGCUUGCUUUCUCCCACAUCUGAAAACAGCUAACUACUGCUAAAGAAUAAAAUGUUAAGGAAAAUGAACCCACAGUUGGUAGUAAAACAGUUGUGACUUAGGUUUUUUUGGUUUUGUUUUAAAUAUGUAAUCAGUCCUGUGCAUGCAUACAAUAAAAGUAGGAAGGAUCUGUUGUAGUCAGGAGCAUCUAACAAAGUCUAGAGUAAGGAAAUAGAAGUGACUGAGCUAGAUGAAGUAAGGAAAUCAAAGUCAGUAGGGAAGUGGAUCACUCGUAUGAAAGUGCAAUGACAAUUGCAAGCAUGCAAGUGGCAAGCUUGGGAGGAAUUAAUCUUUCAUCACUGGUUAGGUAGGAGCUUUAGAAACCAUCCUCUCAUCAGGACAUGCAUCUUGAUUUAUUUUCUAUGCUUGAUGUCAUGGUGUUCCUAAGAUUGUUUUCCAAUUGUUUUUAAGAGAUGUCUUCCCACAUAACCUGAAUUUAUAUUUUCAGGAGACCUCAUUUCUCUGGCCAGGAUGUCCAGUUUUCUUCCUUUCCUGGGCACCUUUUUUCCUAACACCUACCUUCGCUGGCUGGAUUUCUGCAGCAAUUCCUGUAGGAAAUUCUGUAAAGAAAUUGCAAAUAAAUUCUGCAAUAAAUUCCUGCAAUACUUCCUGA
Long non-coding RNA from Pseudopipra pipra, 3498 nucleotides. RefSeq lists it as uncharacterized. The transcript is spliced from 2 exons. The record is from RefSeq and is a predicted model, not a curated record. NCBI's taxonomy places the organism in Eukaryota, Metazoa, Chordata, Aves, Passeriformes, Pipridae.